This 810-nucleotide ribosomal RNA is filed under the name uncultured rumen bacterium. RNAcentral describes it as "bacterial SSU rRNA". It matches the Rfam family "Bacterial small subunit ribosomal RNA", at positions 34 to 834 of the family's 1533-position model. The record is from RNAcentral.
CGCUGGCCGGCGUGCCUAACACAUGCAAGUCGAACGGAGUUGUUUCCACCCGACAGNAUAAUCUUCGGAUGUGAAGUCACCGGAAACGCUUAGUGGCGGACGGGUGAGUAACGCGUGGGCAACCUGCCCUGCACAGGGGGAUAGCGGUUGGAAACGACCGGUAAUACCGCAUACCUUUACUUUGCCGCAUGACAGAGUAAAGAAAACGUUUAGUGGUGCAGGAUGGGCCCGCGUCCGAUUAGCUGGUUGGUGGGGUAACGGCCUACCAAGGCGACGAUCGGUAGCCGACCUGAGAGGGCGGACGGCCACAUUGGGACUGAGACACGGCCCAGACUCCUACGGGAGGCAGCAGUGGGGAAUAUUGCACAAUGGGGGAAACCCUGAUGCAGCGACGCCGCGUGAGUGAAGAAGUAUUUCGGUAUGUAAAGCUCUAUCAGCAGGGAAGAUAAUGACGGUACCUGACUAAGAAGCCCCGGCUAAAUACGUGCCAGCAGCCGCGGUAAUACGUAUGGGGCAAGCGUUAUCCGGAUUUACUGGGUGUAAAGGGAGCGUAGGCGGCAGUACAAGUCGGGAGUGAAAACUCGGGGCUCAACCCCGAGACUGCUCUCGAAACUGUGCAGCUAGAGUGCAGGAGGGGCAGGCGGAAUUCCUGGUGUAGCGGUGAAAUGCGUAGAUAUCAGGAGGAACACCGGCGGCGAAGCGGCCUGCUGGACUGUAACUGACGCUGAGGCUCGAAGCGUGGGGAGCGAACAGGAUUAGAUACCCUGGUAGUCCCCCCGUAACGAUGAAUACCAGGUGUCGGGACCGCAA